GCGGAGGGAUCAUUACUGAGUUACCGCUCUAUAACCCUUUGUGAACAUACCUAACCGUUGCUUCGGCGGGCAGGGGAAGCCUCUCGCGGGCCUCCCCUCCCGGCGCCGGCCCCACCACGGGGACGGGGCGCCCGCCGGAGGAAACCAAACUCUAUUUACACGACGUCUCUUCUGAGUGGCACAAGCAAAUAAUUAAAACUUUUAACAACGGAUCUCUUGGUUCUGGCAUCGAUGAAGAACGCAGCGAAAUGCGAUAAGUAAUGUGAAUUGCAGAAUUCAGUGAAUCAUCGAAUCUUUGAACGCACAUUGCGCUCGCCAGCAUUCUGGCGAGCAUGCCUGUUCGAGCGUCAUUUCAACCCUCAAGCACCGCUUGGUUUUGGGGCCCCACGGCACACGUGGGCCCUUAAAGGUAGUGGCGGACCCUCCCGGAGCCUCCUUUGCGUAGUAACUAACGUCUCGCACUGGGAUCCGGAGGGACUCUUGCCGUAAAACCCCCCAAUUUUUUACAGGUUGACCUCGGAUCAGGUAGGAAUACCCGCUGAACUUAAGCAUAUCAAUAAGCGGAGGAAAA
This 571-nucleotide ribosomal RNA is filed under the name Colletotrichum simmondsii. Its description in RNAcentral is "eukaryotic LSU rRNA". The stretch from base 197 to 350 matches the Rfam family "5.8S ribosomal RNA". The record is from RNAcentral. Lineage: Eukaryota; Fungi; Ascomycota; Sordariomycetes; Glomerellales; Glomerellaceae.